AUGGGCACGUGCAACUUCUAUUUUGCUCGCCACCAGAGACCACCGCCUAGAUCCAUCUCUUCUCAACCAUGCCGACACGGUGGUCAAGGGCGCUUACAACCUGUGAGGACCUGCGUUCUCCUUCUCUCGAGCCUUCGUCGCGAUGAAGCCGUGGGAGGAGAGGGGCACGCGCAUGAUGGAUCUGCUCAAGCACCUCAAGCAGCGCAUCUUCAAGGUACAGCUGCCAUCAACAUAAAUGUGGCUAUGUUGGAAGAUGGUACAGAAAUGUUCAUGCCGCUCAAAGCUAUUUGCAUGAAGCACUAUUAUUAG
This 309-nucleotide ribosomal RNA is filed under the name Triticum aestivum (bread wheat). RNAcentral's name for it is "partial small subunit ribosomal RNA". Lineage: Eukaryota; Viridiplantae; Streptophyta; Magnoliopsida; Poales; Poaceae. The record is from RNAcentral.